This is a non-coding RNA of Stomoxys calcitrans (stable fly), 80 nucleotides long. The record is from Rfam. NCBI's taxonomy places the organism in Eukaryota, Metazoa, Arthropoda, Insecta, Diptera, Muscidae.
UGAAUGUGAUGAUUAAAACUUACACCAUCUUUCGACUGUACUAAAAUCAUUGAUGACAUAUAAGUUUACCUGAUAUUUCA